GCUGAAUGUGGGGAUAAUUUAUCUCCGUGUUGAAGCUAACGCGUUAAGCACUCCGCCUGGGGACUACGGUCGCAAGACUAAAACUCAAAGGAAUUGACGGGGACCCGCACAAGCGGUGGAGCAUGUGGUUUAAUUCGAUGCAACGCGAAAAACCUUACCACUCCUUGACAUGGAGAUUAGAUCCUUCUUAACGGAAGGGCGCAGUUCGGCUGGGUCUCGCACAGGUGCUGCAUGGCUGUCGUCAGCUCGUGUCGUGAGAUGUUGGGUUAAGUCCCGCAACGAGCGUAACCCUCAUCCUUAGUUGCCAGCGGAUAAUGCCGGGUACUUUAAGGAAACUGCCGGUGGUAAACCGGAGGAAGGUGGGGAUGAUGUCAAGUCAGCACGGCCCUUAUGGGGUGGGCUACACACGUGCUACAAUGGUGACUACAAUAGGUUGCAACGCCGCAAGGCUGAGCUAAUCCAUAAAAGUCAUCUCAGUUCGGAUUGUCCUCUGUAACUCGAGGGCAUGAAGUCGGAAUCGCUAGUAAUCGUGGAUCAGCAUGCCACGGUGAAUACGUUCUCGGGUCUUGUACACACUGCCCGUCACGCCAUGGGAAUUGGCUUAACUCGAAGCUGGUGCGCUAACCGAAAGAAAACAAGCCAU
RNAcentral lists this ribosomal RNA (643 nucleotides) under uncultured Anaplasma sp. RNAcentral's name for it is "bacterial SSU rRNA". It matches the Rfam family "Bacterial small subunit ribosomal RNA", at positions 815 to 1456 of the family's 1533-position model. Lineage: Bacteria; Pseudomonadati; Pseudomonadota; Alphaproteobacteria; Rickettsiales; Anaplasmataceae. The record is from RNAcentral.